RNAcentral lists this ribosomal RNA (253 nucleotides) under uncultured bacterium. Its description in RNAcentral is "partial 16S ribosomal RNA". It matches the Rfam family "Bacterial small subunit ribosomal RNA", at positions 524 to 776 of the family's 1533-position model. The record is from RNAcentral.
UACGUAGGGUGCAAGCGUUAAUCGGAAUUACUGGGCGUAAAGCGCACGUAGGCGGACUCUUAAGUCGGUGGUGAAAUCCCGGAGCUCAACUCCGGAACUGCCUUUGAUACUGGUCGUCUAGAGAUCGGAAGAGGGUCGUGGAAUUCCCAGUGUAGAGGUGAAAUUCGUAGAUAUUGGGAAGAACACCGGUGGCGAAGGCGGCGACCUGGUCCGAUACUGACGCUGAGGCGCGAAAGCGUGGGGAGCAAACAGG